UACAUGGUGCUGUUGCUAUUAAUGCCGGC
RNAcentral lists this small RNA (29 nucleotides) under Bombyx mori (domestic silkworm). Its description in RNAcentral is "ovarian small RNA-5985". Lineage: Eukaryota; Metazoa; Arthropoda; Insecta; Lepidoptera; Bombycidae. The record is from RNAcentral.